RNAcentral lists this ribosomal RNA (400 nucleotides) under uncultured bacterium. RNAcentral's name for it is "bacterial SSU rRNA". It matches the Rfam family "Bacterial small subunit ribosomal RNA", at positions 355 to 772 of the family's 1533-position model. The record is from RNAcentral.
UGGGGAAUAUUGCACAAUGGGGGAAACCCUGAUGCAGCGACGCCGCGUGGAGGAAGAAGGUCUUCGGAUUGUAAACUCCUGUUGUUGAGGAAGAUAAUGACGGUACUCAACAAGGAAGUGACGGCUAACUACGUGCCAGCAGCCGCGGUAAAACGUAGGUCACAAGCGUUGUCCGGAAUUACUGGGUGUAAAGGGAGCGCAGGCGGGAAGACAAGUUGGAAGUGAAAUCCAUGGGCUCAACCCAUGAACUGCUUUCAAAACUGUUUUUCUUGAGUAGUGCAGAGGUAGGCGGAAUUCCCGGUGUAGCGGUGGAAUGCGUAGAUAUCGGGAGGAACACCAGUGGCGAAGGCGGCCUACUGGGCACCAACUGACGCUGAGGCUCGAAAGUGUGGGUAGCAAA